GGGAGGUGAUGAGUGGUCAUAGCUUGCAUUUAAAAAUGCAAGAUGGGUUGUCUGACUAAAUAUUUACGACAAUUAGGCAACUCUAAUCUUAUAACCAUCUGAUCCC
Lactuca sativa (garden lettuce) is the source of this 106-nucleotide small nucleolar RNA. RefSeq annotates it as small nucleolar RNA Z279/snoR105/snoR108. The record is from RefSeq and is a predicted model, not a curated record. NCBI's taxonomy places the organism in Eukaryota, Viridiplantae, Streptophyta, Magnoliopsida, Asterales, Asteraceae.